GAUGAACGCUGGCGGCGUGCCUAAUACAUGCAAGUCGAGCGAACGGACGAGAAGCUUGCUUCUCUGAUGUUAGCGGCGGACGGGUGAGUAACACGUGGAUAACCUACCUAUAAGACUGGGAUAACUUCGGGAAACCGGAGCUAAUACCGGAUGAUAUUUUGAACCGCAUGGUUCAAUAGUGAAAGACGGUCUUGCUGUCACUUAUAGAUGGAUCCGCGCUGCAUUAGCUAGUUGGUAAGGUAACGGCUUACCAAGGCAACGAUGCAUAGCCGACCUGAGAGGGUGAUCGGCCACACUGGAACUGAGACACGGUCCAGACUCCUACGGGAGGCAGCAGUAGGGAAUCUUCCGCAGUGGGCGAAAGCCUGACGGAGCAACGCCGCGUGAGUGAUGAAGGUCUUCAGAUCGUAAAACUCUGUUAUUAGGGAAGAACAUAUGUGUAAGUAACUGUGCACAUCUUGACGGUACCUAAUCAGAAAGCCACGGCUAACUACGUG
This 497-nucleotide ribosomal RNA is filed under the name uncultured bacterium. RNAcentral describes it as "partial 16S ribosomal RNA". It matches the Rfam family "Bacterial small subunit ribosomal RNA", at positions 28 to 507 of the family's 1533-position model. The record is from RNAcentral.